RNAcentral lists this ribosomal RNA (497 nucleotides) under uncultured bacterium. Its description in RNAcentral is "partial 16S ribosomal RNA". It matches the Rfam family "Bacterial small subunit ribosomal RNA", at positions 28 to 507 of the family's 1533-position model. The record is from RNAcentral.
GACGAACGCUGGCGGCGUGCCUAAUACAUGCAAGUUGAGCGCUGAAGGUUGGUUCUUGUACCAACUGGAUGAGCAGCGAACGGGUGAGUAACGCGUGGGGAAUCUGCCUUUGAGCGGGGGACAACAUUUGGAAACGAAUGCUAAUACCGCAUAAAAACUUUAAACACAAGUUUUAAGUUUGAAAGAUGCAAUUGCAUCACUCAAAGAUGAUCCCGCGUUGUAUUAGCUAGUUGGUGAGGUAAAGGCUCACCAAGGCGAUGAUACAUAGCCGACCUGAGAGGGUGAUCGGCCACAUUGGGACUGGGACACGGCCCAAACUCCUACGGGAGGCAGCAGUAGGGAAUCUUCGGCAAUGGACGAAAGUCUGACCGAGCAACGCCGCGUGAGUGAAGAAGGUUUUCGGAUCGUAAAACUCUGUUGGUAGAGAAGAACGUUGGUGAGAGUGGAAAGCUCAUCAAGUGACGGUAACUACCCAGAAAGGGACGGCUAACUACGUG